This 1077-nucleotide ribosomal RNA is filed under the name Salmonella enterica subsp. enterica serovar Newport. RNAcentral's name for it is "partial 23S ribosomal RNA". It matches the Rfam family "Bacterial large subunit ribosomal RNA", at positions 711 to 1779 of the family's 2925-position model. The record is from RNAcentral. Lineage: Bacteria; Pseudomonadati; Pseudomonadota; Gammaproteobacteria; Enterobacterales; Enterobacteriaceae.
AGACCCGAAACCCGGUGAUCUAGCCAUGGGCAGGUUGAAGGUUGGGUAACACUAACUGGAGGACCGAACCGACUAAUGUUGAAAAAUUAGCGGAUGACCUGUGGCUGGGGGUGAAAGGCCAAUCAAACCGGGAGAUAGCUGGUUCUCCCCGAAAGCUAUUUAGGUAGCGCCUCGUGAAUUCAUCUCCGGGGGUAGAGCACUGUUUCGGCUAGGGGGCCAUCCCGGCUUACCAACCCGAUGCAAACUGCGAAUACCGGAGAAUGUUAUCACGGGAGACACACGGCGGGUGCUAACGUCCGUCGUGAAGAGGGAAACAACCCAGACCGCCAGCUAAGGUCCCAAAGUCAUGGUUAAGUGGGAAACGAUGUGGGAAGGCCCAGACAGCCAGGAUGUUGGCUUAGAAGCAGCCAUCAUUUAAAGAAAGCGUAAUAGCUCACUGGUCGAGUCGGCCUGCGCGGAAGAUGUAACGGGGCUAAACCAUGCACCGAAGCUGCGGCAGCGACACUGUGUGUUGUUGGGUAGGGGAGCGUUCUGUAAGCCUGUGAAGGUGGCCUGUGAGGGUUGCUGGAGGUAUCAGAAGUGCGAAUGCUGACAUAAGUAACGAUAAAGCGGGUGAAAAGCCCGCUCGCCGGAAGACCAAGGGUUCCUGUCCAACGUUAAUCGGGGCAGGGUGAGUCGACCCCUAAGGCGAGGCCGAAAGGCGUAGUCGAUGGGAAACGGGUUAAUAUUCCCGUACUUGGUGUUACUGCGAAGGGGGGACGGAGAAGGCUAUGUUGGCCGGGCGACGGUUGUCCCGGUUUAAGCGUGUAGGUGUGUGUUCCAGGUAAAUCCGGUUCACUUUAACACUGAGGCGUGACGACGAGGCACUACGGUGCUGAAGCAACAAAUGCCCUGCUUCCAGGAAAAGCCUCUAAGCAUCAGGUAACAUCAAAUCGUACCCCAAACCGACACAGGUGGUCAGGUAGAGAAUACCAAGGCGCUUGAGAGAACUCGGGUGAAGGAACUAGGCAAAAUGGUGCCGUAACUUCGGGAGAAGGCACGCUGACACGUAGGUGAAGUGAUUUACUCAUGGAGCUG